UGUAGUCAUAUGCUUGUCUCAAAGAUUAAGCCAUGCAUGUCUAAGUAUAAGCAAUCUAUACGGUGAAACUGCGAAUGGCUCAUUAAAUCAGUUAUCGUUUAUUUGAUAGUACCUUACUACUUGGAUAACCGUGGUAAUUCUAGAGCUAAUACAUGCUAAAAAUCCCGACUUCGGAAGGGAUGUAUUUAUUAGAUUAAAAACCAAUGCCCUCUGGGCUCUCUGGUGAUUCAUGAUAACUCGUCGAAUCGCACGGCCUUGCGCCGGCGAUGGUUCAUUCAAAUUUCUUCCCUAUCAACUUUCGAUAUUUGGGUAUUGGCCAAACAUGGUUGCAACGGGUAACGGGGAAUG
RNAcentral lists this ribosomal RNA (348 nucleotides) under Albifimbria verrucaria. RNAcentral's name for it is "SSU rRNA". It matches the Rfam family "Eukaryotic small subunit ribosomal RNA", at positions 21 to 371 of the family's 1831-position model. Lineage: Eukaryota; Fungi; Ascomycota; Sordariomycetes; Hypocreales; Stachybotryaceae. The record is from RNAcentral.